CGUCGGUCCCUGUGGGUUCAAACCCGCGUCAUAUUCCUAGUCGUCGAUCACGACGCUAUAAGUUGCCCGCUAGAAGGACAUGGAGUCCGGCGGAUUCUCAACUAACCGCGACGCCUCGGUACGCCGACUCAGGUUCACUUGGCCGUUGCACCCUUUCCUUCUCACAUACGCCAACUCGUAGAAGUGCAACACCUUGGCCAUCGUCGGACCUUCACAUCCGGACAUCCUCCAUAGCGCGUUCAACGCCAUCAACAACUUCCACAUAUUGGGGCAUAUCUGCCUAAAGGCGAGGUCGAACUCGCAUAGCACUAUUUGGAGAUUCGGCAACAGCGGAAACCAAACCCCUUGACAGAACACAGCCGCGUACCCCGUUGGCAGGGAUGAUGCGGGCUCGUUCCUCAACAGCGCCCUUAGCUUCGUUUCCUCGGGAAGUUUAAAUACCAUCUUUAUCCGGUUGAUCGUCACUUGGGACAUCGGUCCAACGGCUUCGUCCACCAGCGUUCCGUCCGAUAGCUUCCAUGUCGACACGACAACGUUCUCAUCAGCGGCGUUGUCACCCUCCUCAUGUGAACCGCUGGCCGCGCCGUGACUAGCCAACCGCUCCCCUUACCGUUGGCUAGCCGCCGUGUCUUCCCCGGCCGACGCAGAGGACUCCAGUGGUCCCUUAGCCAUUGUCGGGUAUAUCG
Molecule: long non-coding RNA, 686 nt
Filed under: Rosa chinensis
Lineage: Eukaryota; Viridiplantae; Streptophyta; Magnoliopsida; Rosales; Rosaceae
Description: sRNA RchiOBHm_Chr7g0219371
Source: RNAcentral